This 497-nucleotide ribosomal RNA is filed under the name uncultured bacterium. RNAcentral describes it as "partial 16S ribosomal RNA". It matches the Rfam family "Bacterial small subunit ribosomal RNA", at positions 28 to 507 of the family's 1533-position model. The record is from RNAcentral.
GAUGAACGCUGGCGGCGUGCCUAAUACAUGCAAGUCGAGCGAACAGAUGAGGAGCUUGCUCCUCUGACGUUAGCGGCGGACGGGUGAGUAACACGUGGAUAACCUACCUAUAAGACUGGGAUAACUUCGGGAAACCGGAGCUAAUACCGGAUAAUAUAUUGAACCGCAUGGUUCAAUAGUGAAAGACGGUUUUGCUGUCACUUAUAGAUGGAUCCGCGCCGCAUUAGCUAGUUGGUAAGGUAACGGCUUACCAAGGCGACGAUGCGUAGCCGACCUGAGAGGGUGAUCGGCCACACUGGAACUGAGACACGGUCCAGACUCCUACGGGAGGCAGCGGUAGGGAAUCUUCCGCAAUGGGCGAAAGCCUGACGGAGCAACGCCGCGUGAGUGAUGAAGGUCUUCGGAUCGUAAAACUCUGUUAUUAGGGAAGAACAAAUGUGUAAGUAACUAUGCACGUCUUGACGGUACCUAAUCAGAAAGCCACGGCUAACUACGUG